RNAcentral lists this long non-coding RNA (273 nucleotides) under Lathyrus oleraceus (garden pea). Its description in RNAcentral is "Pisum sativum (pea) long non-coding RNA (PSAT_LNC042323)". The record is from RNAcentral. Lineage: Eukaryota; Viridiplantae; Streptophyta; Magnoliopsida; Fabales; Fabaceae.
GAAAUCCCGAAACUCAAUUUUGGGUCUGUGUAACCGGUUACGCUAAUUAGGGUAACCGGUUACCCAAUUUUUUUUUAUUUUUUUUUAGAAAUAAUGAAUGUAUGCAUGUGCAGUAGGGUCAUGGAUCAAAUGAAAAUUGUAUCGGGGUAGGGACAAAAUUGGGGUAUGACAGCUGCCCCUAUUUAAUUACCUUGAACCAGAAGGUGUAAACGACAACAGUCUUUGUACAUUCGUGGUGGAAGAUAAUUAAAUACAAAAAAAGACCCGAAUUUU